UAACACUCUGCUGGUGUCUUGAAAUUCUUAAUAGUCUUUGAAUGAGAGGCCCACACUUUCAUUUUGUGAGCCUCUCAAAUUAUGUAGCCAAUGCUGCUAAAAUAAAACCCAUCUGUAACAAUAAACUAUCUUGAUUGUCCAUUUCCUAGAAAUUUCUUAUUAAUACCUAUAAAAGAUCACAAGGUCUUCAAAAUAAUGUAGUACUACUCCUGAUAAUUUCUUAAUGCUAUUUUCUUUAACAGUCAUAAAAUCAUACCAAAGAAGGAGUUUCCCAGUGGCUAAGUCACUUCCUUUAGAGGCUACACAAACUUUUUCAAUCCACUCAAGCACUAUUUAGUUAAGAAAACAGUCUCAACCCUCUAAUUAUCAUUGAAAAGGACUGUUUGCUGAAAAUAAAAUUUAAAGCAGAAAUGAUUGGAAUAGUAGCUUUGGAUUUCCUUUCCUCUAAGUUCAUACCCCUGAGGGCCUACAGGGCAAAAAUGUGGAACUAGAACAAAUGGAAACUCACACAUGUUUAUUUGUGAGAACAUCCAUUAAGAGCAAACAGAAGGCCUUAAAGUAGCACAAAUAAGGAUAAUUCUAGAACAAGUUACACUAAUAGUAAAUAAUUAAUACAAGAUACACUUGCUCUUCAAUAGACAUAUUCAUAACAGUUCCUAAAAGUUGUGUAAUUCAUUAUCUACCUCCUCUCCAAGACCAAGGAAUUCUAUUUUAACAUACCAGGGACAUUGCUACUUCAGAGAUUCUUCAGUGAUUCACUUUACAAUCUAAACACAUAAAGAAUACAAAUGAUCAUUCUGUAGUAAAUCAUUCGCUUGAGUUCAUUUUGGUAUGUGGCAGUUUGAAAAAUAUGGCGAUACCCAGCCAUCAAAGCCCUACAGACAACACAAAGACUCUGCUAAGUCCCCUGUAAACUUCCAGUGCCUAGUAUAUCUCCCACCUUGCCACUGAAAGCUACUUGAUUCUGACUGAUCAAAAAUUACAGGACUGCAAAGCUUGGAAUAUAAGCCUCUCAUUUUCACAUGUACAAUAAUCUGUUAUGACUAAAUUUAAAUAAUUAAAAACUAUUUUAAGCAUUAGCAACGUGGAGUAGUAUAGCAGAAAGGGCAGUGGGCUGAGGCAGGUCUACGCCCAGCUCUCCUAUUUAGCACUAAAAUAGCUUUAUGACCUUGAGCCAGUGCUGUCCCGGUCUAAGGUGUCACACCUGUAAAAACAGAAGAUGAGUCCAGUCAUUGGCCUCUAGGGUUUUAAACUUUAGUGUGCAGCAGAAUCAACUACAGAGCUUGUCAAAAAACAGAUUGCUGUCCCCUUACUCCUACCCCAUUUCUCAUUCAGUAGAGCUGGGGUAAGGCCAGACAAUUUGCAUUUCUAACAAAUCCAGGUGAAAGCUGCUGAUGAAGCUGCUGAUCCAGGGACCACACUUUGGGAACCACUGCCCUAGGAGAAUGCUAAGAAUUUGAAGUGCAAGAAUCAGAACCCAUCCACUGUGGCGGGGUUCCUGAGGCACCUGCCAAAGUGUCACAAGGUGUCUACAGAGACUAGCAGUGUUCUUUCAAACAAAGAAGCUCAAGCUGAACAAUGGCAGUGCAUUAGCCUGCCAAGUAGCAGUCAGAGCAGGGUUGGGGGAAAGGCAGUGGGUGAGCCAGGAUGAAGUCAGGAAGUUAACUGAGACUAAUAAGAUGACGUAAGGCCCUAAAUUAGAAAAUAAAACCAGGUAAAGUACAAAGCUGGGUGGAAUAUUUUGGCUUGCUGGCAAACAAAGGAUGGAAGAGGAUUCCUUAAAGCAACGAGUCAGGACACAGGAGAAACAGCUUUGGUGAGAUGGGACUAUAGGAAUGAAAGCUCCUGUGAGGUUCACAAGAAGGCCAAAGGGCUCUUGCCUUGUGGGCGGGGUGGGACAAGGCUUUGGUCUGUCUAGGCCCAGAGAGUUCCUAAAGGAGCUUUGCUCAAAUAGUUUGCCAUCUUCACCCAAAUGAAAUUCUAAAAGACGCACUUCAGGCAAAAGGGGUAAUUCCAGAUGGAUGGUCUGAAAUGGGAUGAAGAGCAACAUGUGGAUUGUUCAUGUGUGAAGGGAAUGCCUGACGACUGAGGAUUAACUAGGCAUAAAGAAGAGAAUGGGAGUUUUCAUAUAUAAAAAAUGCUAUACAGGCAGACCAUGGAGAUAUUACAGAUUCAGUUCCAGAUCACAAUAAAGCGGAUAUUGCAAUAAAAGGCUACAUGACGAAUGAUACCGUAUUAGAUCGAAUGUAAAAGCAGGUUAUUUACAGAACUCAAGUCCAUCAAUAGAUUCCAGUAGAUGGGUGGGAGAAAGUUCAAAUGAAGUGAUCAGCUGGAAUAAUCACAUUAACUUUCUUUGAAUUCAGAGAAGUCAUUAAUACAGAGACAUAUCAACUGCAGGUUCCUUCCAUCAAACUGUUCUAUAUUUUUUUCUAUUAUGAAUGAUUUUACAUACUUCAUAGCAUGUACCAACUAUUUCACAAAAACAAUUUUGUUCCAAAAACCCCAGUGAAAAGGACUCAAUAACAAGAAU
Molecule: long non-coding RNA, 2530 nt
Organism: Manis pentadactyla (Chinese pangolin)
Lineage: Eukaryota; Metazoa; Chordata; Mammalia; Pholidota; Manidae
Exons: 5
Source: RefSeq, a predicted model, not a curated record